RNAcentral lists this long non-coding RNA (1255 nucleotides) under Oryzias sinensis (Chinese medaka). RNAcentral's name for it is "lncRNA (ENSOSIG00000014586.1)". Lineage: Eukaryota; Metazoa; Chordata; Actinopteri; Beloniformes; Adrianichthyidae. The record is from RNAcentral.
AAUAUGAUUCAUAUGAAAUAUGAAGGCUGCCUCGGCCGGCACCUAGCAGCUGACUUAGAACUGGUGCGGACCAGGGGAAUCCGACUGUUUAAUUAAAACAACUGUAUUUCUUUAUUCAAAUCGUUGUUAAACAAAAAAAAAAUCAUUUAAAAAAGAUCCUAUUUGUGACAUAGAAAUAUCACUGGGCGGGGCCAAAGUCUCCCUGCUCCGCCCUUUUCCUGAUCUGACUGUACGACUGGAGAGUGAGGAUAUUGCUGCUGUUGUUGUUACUCUGCCAAUGGUGGGGGGGUGAGGGGCUGUAAGCUAGCAGGAAAGAGCAUGAACACAGAGCAGGCUUACUCCAUGCCAACGGUCCCGCCCACAACUCACAACAGAGGUGAAUUUCUAGUGACGUCCUGCCGCUCUGCAGAAACUAUGUCCUCGAAAACGACACAGGUUUUUGGAUUUUGGCUAAAAACGGCAUCAUAAUAAUUAAACGACCACUGAGAAUGCUUUAAAAAACAGAUCAAAAGAUAAUCGGACUUUAAAAAACGUGAUCAAUAAAUGACCAAGGCUUAUCAAAUGAUAUGAUCCCAUUGGCUCCUGCGGCUGUUGUCAUGUGACUGGAAGUGGAUUCCCCCCUCCCUACCGCAGCUCCAGGUUCUGAUCCUCGCUUUUCUAUCCUCAACUAGUUCCAUUUUACUUAAAAUUACCCAAAAGCUUUUUCCAAAUGAUUAAUCAGGAUUAGUUUAACCCCCUCCCAAUAAAAAAACCUGGCUAAGUAAAAAGCUGAAGGUUUCUGUCUUUCUGUCUCACUCAGUCCAGCAAACAUCUGUCCAGAGGUGUAGGAGUGACUGGAGCUGCAGAACCGUUCUGCUGCAGGAAAGUUCUGCUGCAGAACGGUUCUGCUGCCGGAAGGUUCUGCUGCCGGAAGGUUCUGCUGCAGAACGGUUCUGCUGCAGGAAGGUUCUGCUGCAGGAAGGUUCUGCUGCAGGAAGGUUCUGCUACAAAACGGUUCUGCUGCAGGAAGGUUCUGCUACAGAACGGUUCUGCUACAGAACGGUUCUGCUGCAGAACGGUUCUGCUACAGGAAGGUUCUGCUGCAGGAAGGUUCUGCUGCAGGAAGGUUCUGCUACAGAACGGUUCUGCUACAGAACGGUUCUGCUGCAGGAAUGUUCUGCUACAGGACGGUUCUGCUGAAGGAAGGUUCAGGCCGGCGCCCCCCCUCAGCGCUCUGACUGAUGUUUCAACAGAAGGACGCCAUGAUGCACAAUAG